GUGAGGAAUAUUGCGCAAUGGAGGCAACUCUGACGCAGCCAUGCCGCGUGCAGGAAGAAGGCGCUACGCGUCGUAAACUGCUUUUAACCGGGAAGAAACCCCAGGACGUGUCCUGGGUUGACGGUACCGGAGGAAUAAGCACCGGCUAACUUCGUGCCAGCAGCCGCGGUAAUACGAAGGGUGCAAGCGUUAUCCGGAUUCAUUGGGUUUAAAGGGUGCGUAGGCGGAGCGUUAAGUCAGUGGUGAAAUCCUGCAGCUUAACUGUAGACUUGCCAUUGAUACUGGCGCUCUUGAGUGCGCUUGAAGUGGGCGGAAUGUGCCGUGUAGCGGUGAAAUGCUUAGAUAUGGCACAGAACACCAAUUGCGAAGGCAGCUCACUAAGGCGAUACUGACGCUGAGGCACGAAAGCGUGGGGAUCGAACAGGAUUAGAUACCCCUGUAGUCC
RNAcentral lists this ribosomal RNA (445 nucleotides) under uncultured bacterium. RNAcentral describes it as "partial 16S ribosomal RNA". It matches the Rfam family "Bacterial small subunit ribosomal RNA", at positions 354 to 796 of the family's 1533-position model. The record is from RNAcentral.